GGAGAGAUUGAUGAGAUGGAUCUUUAACGAUUGGCGGUUGGAGGCGAGGCAGGGGCGGCCGGCCGAUCUCCCUCACAUGCCAUGCCAACACAUACAUUAUAUUUCCCGAUCGGCGACACCUACGACGCACGCAACGCAAGAGCUUCGCUUGCUUUGUUUAACGAAAAAUGCAGCAUCGCCCUACGCGCUUACGUACAGCCAGGCAAUCGAAAACAGAAGCCAACCCCGCCAAAGAAAAAUGG
This 242-nucleotide long non-coding RNA is filed under the name Hordeum vulgare. RNAcentral's name for it is "long non-coding RNA (HVUL_LNC016859)". Lineage: Eukaryota; Viridiplantae; Streptophyta; Magnoliopsida; Poales; Poaceae. The record is from RNAcentral.